Molecule: ribosomal RNA, 255 nt
Filed under: uncultured bacterium
Lineage: Bacteria
Description: partial 16S ribosomal RNA
Rfam family: Bacterial small subunit ribosomal RNA
Source: RNAcentral
UACGAAGGGGGCUAGCGUUGCUCGGAAUUACUGGGCGUAAAGGGCGCGUAGGCGGAUAGUUUAGUCAGAGGUAAAAGCCCAGGGCUCAACCUUGGAACUGCCUUUGAUACUGGCUAUCUUGGAGUUCGGGAGAGGUGAGUGGAAUGCCGAGUGUAGAGGUGAAAUUCGUAGAUAUUCGGCGGAACACCAGUGGCGAAGGCGACUCACUGGCCCGAUACUGACGCUGAGGCGCGAAAGCGUGGGGAGCAAACAGGG